CACGAAGUUAGCCGGGGCUUCUUCUCCGACUACCGUCAUUAUCUUCAUCGGUGAAAGAGCUUUACAACCCUAAGGCCUUCAUCACUCACGCGGCAUGGCUGGAUCAGGCUUGCGCCCAUUGUCCAAUAUUCCCCACUGCUGCCUCCCGUAGGAGUUUGGGCCGUGUCUCAGUCCCAAUGUGGCCGAUCAUCCUCUCAGACCAGCUAUGGAUCGUCGCCUUGGUAGGCCUUUACCCCACCAACUAGCUAAUCCAACGCGGGCCAAUCCAUCUCCGAUAAAUCUUUCCCCCGAAGGGCGUAUGCGGUAUUAGCUCCAGUUUCCCGGAGUUGUUCCGCAGAGAUGGGUAUGUUCCCACGUGUUACUCACCCGUCUGCCGCUCCCCUUGCGGGGCGCUCGACUUGCAUGUGUUAAGCCUGCCGCCAGCGUUCGUUCUGAGCCAGGAUCAAACUCU
This 451-nucleotide ribosomal RNA is filed under the name uncultured Rhizobium sp. RNAcentral describes it as "partial 16S ribosomal RNA". Lineage: Bacteria; Pseudomonadati; Pseudomonadota; Alphaproteobacteria; Hyphomicrobiales; Rhizobiaceae. The record is from RNAcentral.